GAUGAAGAACGCAGCGAAAUGCGAUACGUAAUGUGAAUUGCAGAAUUCAGUGAAUCAUCGAAUCUUUGAACGCACCUUGCACCCUUUGGCAUUCCGAAGGGUAUGCUCGUUUGAGUGUCAUUGUACUCUCACACUUCCAAUCUUUGGAUUGGGAGCGGUGGACUUGGGUGUUGCUGCUUACUGUGGCUCACCUCAAAUCGAUUCGUGCACCUCUUGGUUGGACAUAGUACGGCGUGAUAAGUGUCUUCGCCGGCACCUCAGUAGAGGGUGGCUGAUCAGGAGCUCUGUGCUUCAAACCGUCCUCGGACAACAACUGACAACUUGACCUCAAAUCGAGUAGGACUACCCGCUGAACUUAAGCAUAUCAAUAAGCGGAGGA
RNAcentral lists this unclassified non-coding RNA (379 nucleotides) under soil metagenome. Its description in RNAcentral is "partial contains 5.8S ribosomal RNA, internal transcribed spacer 2, and large subunit ribosomal RNA". The stretch from base 1 to 120 matches the Rfam family "5.8S ribosomal RNA", at positions 35 to 154 of the family's 154-position model. The record is from RNAcentral.